Molecule: ribosomal RNA, 253 nt
Filed under: uncultured bacterium
Lineage: Bacteria
Description: partial 16S ribosomal RNA
Rfam family: Bacterial small subunit ribosomal RNA
Source: RNAcentral
GACGAACCGAGCGAACGUUAUUCGGAAUCACUGGGCUUAAAGGGCGCGUAGGCGGGCCAUCAAGUCAGGGGUGAAAGCCCCCAGCUCAACUGGGGAAGUGCCUUUGAUACUGGUGGUCUCGAGGGGGAUAGGGGCGUGCGGAACUUCCGGUGGAGCGGUGAAAUGCGUAGAUAUCGGAAGGAACACCGGUGGCGAAGGCGGCUUCCUGGACCGACACUGACGCUGAGGCGCGAAAGCUAGGGGAGCAAACAGG